RNAcentral lists this transfer RNA (72 nucleotides) under Apaloderma vittatum (bar-tailed trogon). It matches the Rfam family "tRNA". Rfam says of the family: Transfer RNA (tRNA) molecules are approximately 80 nucleotides in length. Lineage: Eukaryota; Metazoa; Chordata; Aves; Trogoniformes; Trogonidae. The record is from Rfam by way of RNAcentral.
GGCCAGUUAGCUCAGUCAGUUGAGCAUGGCGUUAACAACACCAAGGUUGCGGGUUCAAUUCCUGUUUGGUCC